GACAACGCUGGCGGCGUGCUUAACACAUGCAAGUCGAACGGGAGUAUUGAAGAAGCUUGCUUUAGAGAUACUUAGUGGCGGACGGGUGAGUAACGCGUGAGGAGCUGUCCUAUGCAGGGGGACAACAGCUGGAAACGGCUGCUAAUACCCCAUAAGCCGAGAGGUAAAAGGAUCAAUCCGGCAGAGGAGGUACUCGCGUCCUAUCAGCUAGUAGGUGAGGUAACGGCUCACCUAGGCGAAGACGGGUAGCCGGCCUGAGAGGGCGAACGGCCACACUGGAACUGAGAUACGGUCCAGACUCCUACGGGAGGCAGCAGUGGGGAAUAUUGGGCAAUGGGGGAAACCCUGACCCAGCGACGCCGCGUGGGUGAAGAAAUCCUUCGGGAUGUAAAGCCCUGUUGUAUGGGAAGAGCGGAAGACGGUACCAUACGAGGAAGCCCCGGCAAACUACGUG
Molecule: ribosomal RNA, 454 nt
Filed under: uncultured bacterium
Lineage: Bacteria
Description: bacterial SSU rRNA
Rfam family: Bacterial small subunit ribosomal RNA
Source: RNAcentral